This 507-nucleotide ribosomal RNA is filed under the name uncultured bacterium. Its description in RNAcentral is "partial 16S ribosomal RNA". It matches the Rfam family "Bacterial small subunit ribosomal RNA", at positions 28 to 523 of the family's 1533-position model. The record is from RNAcentral.
GAUGAACGCUAGCUACAGGCUUAACACAUGCAAGUCGAGGGGUAACGAGAGGAAAGCUUGCUUUCCUUGUCGACGACCGGCGCACGGGUGAGUAACGCGUAUCCAACCUGCCCCCAACUAGGGAAUAACCUUGCGAAAGUAAGACUAAUACCCUAUACUUUCCUCAGAUGUCAUCUGACGAGGAAUAAAGAUUUAUCGGUUGUGGAUGGGGAUGCGGCUGAUUAGCUUGUUGGCGGGGUAACGGCCCACCAAGGCAACGAUCAGUAGGGGUUCUGAGAGGAAGGUCCCCAAAAUUGGAGAUGAGACAAGGUCCAAACUCCUACGGGAGGAAGCAGUAAGGAAUAUUGGUCAAUGGGCGGAAGCUUGAACCAGCCAAGUAGCGUGCAGAAUGACGGCCCGAUGGGUUGUAAACUGCUUUUAUACAGGAAUAAAGUUAGCCACGUGUGGUUAUUUGUAGGUACUGUAUGAAUAAGGACCGGCUAAUUCCGUGCCAGCCGCCCGCCGUAA